This 911-nucleotide long non-coding RNA is filed under the name Volvox carteri. Its description in RNAcentral is "long non-coding RNA (VCAR_LNC004272)". The record is from RNAcentral. Lineage: Eukaryota; Viridiplantae; Chlorophyta; Chlorophyceae; Chlamydomonadales; Volvocaceae.
UGUUAAGCGGUGCCAAGGGCUGUAGUUGCUAACAGGCCUUGAAAGCUGUUACGAGCAGGGACAUGCUAAAAGGAAGUUCCAUCAUGUUACUGGCUGUUGCCAUUAGAUAAUUUGCUGAACUUUUGUUGAAGGAUUUUAAUUGCUGUAUUGAGGUUCAGACGCUGUAAAUUUUAUGAGCUUUUACAUGAUUCCCUGUCCACUAUUAAAUCACUCAUUCUCUUUUUUUUGGAAAGCUGUCUGACUUCAUUAUUCAUGCCAUCAGCAUCUAUUUGCCAUCAUUGGGGAUAGAAGCUUGUACUGCAUGGGUAGGCACAAAACCACAUUCGUCAGGAAUUAUAUACAUAUGUAUGUAUUACACACAACAGUCUGGGUCGCCCUGGUCACCUCACUUGCUCAUCAUGUGGAAUUGUGCAGUAUAGUGCACAGCCAGCUGGCCUGUACAGGCAUCUAUUGUCUCUAUUCUUUACAAGUCUGGAGGCUGCUACCAAAAUCAUCACAGCAACAGCAGUACCUUUUCUUGGCAUGCAAUUAUACACACAUGUUCUUCAUCAACCUUCACCUGUGACCUGUUUCACACUACUACUGCACUGCUUCCAUUUUUCCUAGUGAACACCUACUACACACCACUGAACCACAUAGCUCUAGACUGCAGCUGCCCACUUGCUCCGUAUCCCUGCUCAUCAAGGAACCUCUCUAAGCAACCAACGCCAGCUUGCCCUUGUACUGGACCAUGGAGUCAUUCCAUAGAACAUUUGUGCAGCCAUGGGAGAAAGCCCACUCCUUGACCUGCUGCUUGCUGAAUCUGCCAAGUAGGCUCUGCACUGGAAGCUCUACGGCCGUGUGCUUCUUGAGCUCCUUGCCAACCUUAAUGGCUAGCCCCACCUGAUCAGCAGCAUGAGAAGAGCCUGCGG